AUUGAACGCUGGCGGCAGGCCUAACACAUGCAAGUCGAACGGUAACAGGAAGAAGCUUGCUUCUUUGCUGACGAGUGGCGGACGGGUGAGUAAUGUCUGGGAAACUGCCUGAUGGAGGGGGAUAACUACUGGAAACGGUAGCUAAUACCGCAUAACGUCGCAAGACCAAAGAGGGGGACCUUCGGGCCUCUUGCCAUCGGAUGUGCCCAGAUGGGAUUAGCUAGUAGGUGGGGUAACGGCUCACCUAGGCGACGAUCCCUAGCUGGUCUGAGAGGAUGACCAGCCACACUGGAACUGAGACACGGUCCAGACUCCUACGGGAGGCAGCAGUGGGGAAUAUUGCACAAUGGGCGCAAGCCUGAUGCAGCCAUGCCGCGUGUAUGAAGAAGGCCUUCGGGUUGUAAAGUACUUUCAGCGGGGAGGAAGGGAGUAAAGUUAAUACCUUUACUCAUUGACGUUACCCGCAGAAGAAGCACCGGCUAACUCCGUGCCAGCAGCCGCGGUAAUA
Molecule: ribosomal RNA, 508 nt
Filed under: uncultured Escherichia sp.
Lineage: Bacteria; Pseudomonadati; Pseudomonadota; Gammaproteobacteria; Enterobacterales; Enterobacteriaceae
Description: bacterial SSU rRNA
Rfam family: Bacterial small subunit ribosomal RNA
Source: RNAcentral